GAAUAGGAAAGUUGUAAGAGCUCCGAGGGAGCUAUUCCUUUUGUGGCGGUGGCAUCAAAACCGGAGCACUCUCCAACCAAUACCAUACAUCCACACAAGAGGAUCUACCCCUUAUCGACUCUAGGAGUACACAAUCAUAGAGCUUGAGCGAUUUUCAUUUGGGUAUCAAAAGAUCUUACUGAUACCAUGAAUUGAACUCAGGGAAGACUUCUUCAGCUCACAAUUGAAUGAGCAACGACAUGCUAAUACCACUGUAGAGGGAUCCAGAACAGCAUGUACGUCCUCAUCUUCAACUUAUCACCCAGUGCGUUAGUUUUGAAUUUGCAAAUGUUGUUGGGGUUGCCCUUGAAUGUGUGUUACCAUUUGGUUCUGAUUGUUGCUGCUAUUUGACCUUGUCUGCCCAAAUGUUCUUCGAUUUUGACACUUCUUAAAUCUCAAGUUUGGGACAUUAGCCUUUUCCAACUGAAUUAUACCUUUUGCUUUAUUUGGAAUCCCUUGUGUUGAGUUGAAUUGAAAUUUGUUAGUACCUGCAAAACUGAAAAUAUAGUUAGUAAAAAAAUUUGCCAAUUGA
This is a long non-coding RNA of Solanum tuberosum (potato), 571 nucleotides long. RefSeq lists it as uncharacterized. The record is from RefSeq and is a predicted model, not a curated record. The transcript has 2 exons. NCBI's taxonomy places the organism in Eukaryota, Viridiplantae, Streptophyta, Magnoliopsida, Solanales, Solanaceae.